UUUUUGCAAUAAAUUAAUUAACAAACAAAAACAUUCCAAAUAUCUUUCAAUCCCAUAUAUCACGCAGAUUUCUCCAAAAUUUGAAGUAAAUUUUGGUAACUAUUUAAAACAAAAAAUAUUUGACAAACCAAAAUACAAUUGCAAUCCCUUAAAUUGAGCAAAAUGUACCUAAAUACAUUUCUUAUCAAUUCACUAAAUUUUAUUUCUCCAAAAUUUGAACUAGAUUUCGACAACUAUUUAAAACAAAAAUUUGUUUGACAAACUAAAAUACAAUUGCAAUCCCGUAAAAUAUUUAUUUUAAUUAUAUAUUUAAAUUAGCGGUGUACCGCGGGUUUUUUUACGGGACGGGUUUGGCGGAACGGUUUGGAAGGACGUUACUUAAUAACAAUUGUAAAUUAUAAAAUAAAAAUAUUUUAUAGAUAAAUAUAAUUUACAAACUUUUAUAUAUACUGAUUUUAAAAAAAUAAAUUGUCUCUGCGGUGUACCGUGGGUUAAAAUCUAGUAUAUCAACAUAUUUUCAACGAUUAAUUUCUGAUAAAAUUCCAACAAUUAAAUAAUCAUAAGUUUUCCACAAAUUUACAAGAAAAAAU
RNAcentral lists this small RNA (590 nucleotides) under Arabidopsis thaliana (thale cress). RNAcentral describes it as "ATSL084860". Lineage: Eukaryota; Viridiplantae; Streptophyta; Magnoliopsida; Brassicales; Brassicaceae. The record is from RNAcentral.